UAAGGUCCCUAGAUAAAAAAGUUUUUAAAAAAAAGUUUUCAAAACUUUUUAUCUAGGGACCUUACGGAGGAAGGAGGUGACGCCUGGCUAGUGCACGAACAGCAGACCAAUUAUUUAUUUAUUUAUUACUAAUUUUAUUCCUGUGGCGCAUGAAACGCCUGCCCUGUUUCAAAAGGGAAUAAAAACAAUUACUUACUUACUUACUUAAGCCUGUAAACCCAUAGAGUUCGUAAACCAGAAGUCGCAACAGGCCUCGUUGUACCAGGUGUUCUGUGGUUGUACUGCAGGCUCACCACCAACUUCGCGCGAGCAAAUGUACUUCAAAUCCGCGGUUACACAAUUGCCGUGUUGAUAAAUAUUGCGCGCAUUUAUUCUAUGCAUAUCGUGCUUUUGAAUUCAUCUACUGGAUAGUUUACGCGUGUCGGAAAGUUCUCCUGCAUUGAUCGAGUGGCGGACGAUGUCUGGCCGUACGUUGCCGCUCAAAACAGCCUCAUCGGACGCGCGCCGUUGUGCCCGCUCUUAUAAGUGCUUUCUUCCUUCGUUUAUCGAUUACCCGCGUUGUUCGCGUGAUGCAAUAUCGAAUGUACGAAGACAAUCCACGCCCCCGUGUUGUGACAAGCAGUGACUGGUGUUAUACAAAAGCGGAAGCUUGAGCCUUUUGACGAGCGACUGAAGAGUGCACAGCCAAUGCCAAACUUCGGAACCGAUAGCCCGGGCGGCGUGUUGGCACAGCGAGGAUGAUGAACUAAAGACCGGAAAGGCAGCGAUGACAGCUGUUCAUGGCACCGACACAAAGGACAGGUUGCAGUGCACGAUUGGAGUGGUCUUCCUGCAAGCCCUGACGAACCAUAUUGAGUGGUUUUAAAUACAGCAGCGGUGCCAGGAAGAGAGUGCAACAAGACACCCUAUCAUCAGUGCAAAGUUGGAAAAUUAAAUAAAAGUGCACUUCUGCAAAUGUCUCA
Molecule: long non-coding RNA, 962 nt
Organism: Rhipicephalus microplus (southern cattle tick)
Lineage: Eukaryota; Metazoa; Arthropoda; Arachnida; Ixodida; Ixodidae
Source: RefSeq, a predicted model, not a curated record